UUAGGAAUAUUGGACAAUGGGCGCAAGCCUGAUCCAGCCAUGCCGCGUGAGUGAUGAAGGCCUUCGGGUUGUAAAACUCUUUAGCCGAUGAAUAUAAUGACUGUAGUCGGAAAAUAAGCCCCGGCUAACUUCGUGCCAGCAGCCGCGGUAAUACGAAGGGGGCGAGCGUUAUUCGGAAUCACUGGGCGUAAAGCGUGCGUAGGCUGCUUGGAAAGUUGGAAGUGAAAGCCCAGGGCUCAACCCUGGAAUUGCUUUCAAAACUACCAGGCUCGGAUUCGGGAGAGGAUAGCGGAAUUGUCAGUGUAGCAGUGAAAUGCGUAGAUAUUGACAGGAACACCAGUGGCGCAAGCGGCUAUCUGGACCGACAUCGACGCUGAGGCACGAAAGCGUGGGGAUCAAA
Molecule: ribosomal RNA, 400 nt
Filed under: uncultured bacterium
Lineage: Bacteria
Description: bacterial SSU rRNA
Rfam family: Bacterial small subunit ribosomal RNA
Source: RNAcentral